GGUAUGGGAUGAGCUUGCGUCCGAUUAGCUAGUUGGCGGGCAACGGCCCACCAAGGCGACGAUCGGUAGCCGGCCUGAGAGGGUGAUCGGCCACAUUGGGACUGAGAUACGGCCCAGACUCCUACGGGAGGCAGCAGUAGGGAAUAUUGCACAAUGGGGGAAACCCUGAUGCAGCAACGCCACGUGUGGGAAGAAGCAUUUCGGUGUGUAAACCACUGUCAUGAGGGAAUAAGGCCCGCCUUCGGACGGGAUUGAAUGUACCUUGAGAGGAAGCACCGGCAAACUUCGUGCCAGCAGCCGCGGUAAUACGAGGGGUGCAAGCGUUGUUCGGAAUUACUGGGCGUAAAGGGAGCGUAGGCGGAGAUUCAAGCGGAUUGUACAAUCCCGGGGCCCAACCCCGGCUCUGCAGUCCGAACUGGAUCUCUUGGAUAGUUCAGGGGCAGGC
Molecule: ribosomal RNA, 445 nt
Filed under: uncultured bacterium
Lineage: Bacteria
Description: bacterial SSU rRNA
Rfam family: Bacterial small subunit ribosomal RNA
Source: RNAcentral